GACAUUCAUUGUUCGUAAUCACGCAGCAUAACUGUUCGAUUAUCUCUGGCCCUUAAUUAAUGUAGAAGUUAUAAUAUUUUGAAGUUUUUUUAUUGCGUGCUAUUAUUGUUAACUCUCGAGUUUCUUAGCCUUUCUUUCGCUCGGUUUAUCCGCCAUUUUGGAGGUACUGGCUUCUCCCAACCGGGUAGUAUAAACACCGCGAAAUGUGAAUUUUUAUAAUUGUAGUUGUGUGUGCAAUGGUAAAUGUACAGUUAUAACUUUGUGAAGUCGCCUUUCACAUUGUUUUGAUUGUGUAUAUAUAUCAGUUUCCCCAAAAUGGGCUAUUACAUUUAAAAACCAUUCCCCCCUGUGUAAUUGAUCCCUCUGGAAGAGACUCAACCCCCCCCCCUCUGGAAGUACAUUUUUGAAUUUUCACCCCUCUGGAAAUAUUGACUAAUUCACCCCCUUGAAACCGUCGACAGGGGGUUUGGGUAUGUAAUAGCCCAAUGGCGGAUAUUGGCACGCGUGAGGAAGGCUAUAAUUAACCCAAACAGCACUAUAACAAUAUUGUUAUCAUGUUUCCAAAACUGUCCAAAGAGUGCAGCACAACAUUGUCAAUGAUAGCAAUCAUGCAAGUUAAAUCUCGAGUAUUAUUUCAUCAAAUUGACCGCUACGAGUAGAAGUUCCGUUGUUGGGAAGCGGAGCAGUGCUAAAUGUCGCUGAGACCCCCUCGAGUGUGACUGAAGAUAAUCCAUUUUUACCAUAACACGAACUUGGCCCAUUUAUUGUUGCAGAAAGAGUCACAACUUCAUUUCGCUUCAGUAUAACGGGUUUCUUUAACAUUACAUCAAAACCAGGAACGCCGUCUUCAUUGCAUUCACCGGUAUACGUGCCGGUCACUUUCGCUUUUUUGACUUGAAAUGUGACAUGAUAUAUACCCUCUGGCUGCCCAAACAAACGUACACCAAGCAAGUUCAUAUCUUUUUUCGCAGAAAAACAGAGGCGAUCUGGCGUGUUGUCAUAUUCCCACGGCGAUCUGUUAAGUUUGUCUAUUAUUUCAGGAAAUCUGGAAAACCGGACGAUAUUUCCUACGUUCCUGUUGGGUAGCUUCCAUUUUAACGCAGGCGAAUCUAUUCCAAGGAAUUUCUCGUAAAUGGGAAUUAUCUCUUCCGCAGUUAGCAGACCAGAUUUCGAAACAUGUUCGGCAAACUGUUUAUGGCUCAUGGUAAAAAAUCGGAACCCAUAGAUCGCCUUGCCAAUGAUUGACCUUCGGUUCUCUGCUGUUGCUUCUAAAUUCUUAUACGAGCAUUGGAAAUCAAUCCAUUUUAAAACAGCCUGAAACAGUUCUACUUCUGGGAUAAACAGAUUGUCUCGCAUCAGUAAUUUCGCCAAGGUCGUUUGACUGAUGUUAUUGAAACUAUCAGAGGCUACCACUUUGCGUGUGUGAGACUCUAUAAAUUUCCAACAUUCUUUCUCUAAUUCUUUUUCUUCAAAACCAGUCGCUUGCUGUAAAACGUCCAGUGCAUUUUCAACGUUUAAAUUUUCGGACAGGAAAUUAGUGCAUUUCUCACCGAGCGAAGGCAAGAUGUAUUUCUUUGCCAAAUACAUAAUAGCAACAACAUUGUCUCCUGUCAAUGUACAUUCCUCCGUGUAAAGAAAUCUCAAAAACUGCUCUAAACUUUCCUCGUUUGUAUCAGACAAAUGAACAAUCGAAUCUUUCACAGCUAAGCCGCCAUAAAACAUGGCAUGAAAUACGGCGCUACUUGUGGCCAAGACAUAUUUAUGUGCAUAGAAUGUAUUGUCUGAACCUUCGCAAGUAAAGCUGAUAUCACUCAUGUCUGGAUUGUUGAACAUAUGUCGGUUUCUUUCUAAGAUGGUGUUCUUUGUCGACUGCCAGUCCACAUUCGAUUGAACUGAGGCCAUUUUGAAGAAUUAUAGCUGUAGUAUACUGUCGACAAAAAAGGAUUUUUAAAUACUUCAAUGCAGAACUGAAAUUGUGCCAUGCAAGACAAUGGCGGAAUUAGAAUAAUUAAACGCGAAGCGAAAUUUGAUAUGACCACAGUUUCGCACGU
This is a non-coding RNA of Paramuricea clavata, 2051 nucleotides long. The record is from the annotation of a GenBank genome assembly. Lineage: Eukaryota; Metazoa; Cnidaria; Anthozoa; Malacalcyonacea; Plexauridae.